Molecule: non-coding RNA, 82 nt
Organism: Candidatus Kuenenbacteria bacterium CG2_30_39_24
Lineage: Bacteria; Candidatus Kueneniibacteriota
Source: Rfam
GCGGAUGUGGAGAAAUUGGUAAACUCGCAGCCUUGAGGUGGCUGUGCCUUCGGGCUUGGGGGUUCAACUCCCCCCAUCCGCA